RNAcentral lists this ribosomal RNA (459 nucleotides) under uncultured bacterium. RNAcentral describes it as "partial 16S ribosomal RNA". It matches the Rfam family "Bacterial small subunit ribosomal RNA", at positions 338 to 795 of the family's 1533-position model. The record is from RNAcentral.
CCUACGGGAGGCAGCAGUGAGGAAUAUUGGUCAAUGGUCGGGAGACUGAACCAGCCAAGCCGCGUGAGGGAUGAAGGUACAGAGUAUCGUAAACCUCUUUUGCACGGGGAUAACACCCUCCACUUGUGGAGGUCUGCAGGUACCGUGCGAAUAAGGGCCGGCUAAUUCCGUGCCAGCAGCCGCGGUAAUACGGAAGGCCCGAGCGUUAUCCGGAUUCAUUGGGCUUAAAGGGAGCGUAGGCGGGCGUUCAAGUCAGCUGUAAAAUCGCGCGGCUCAACCGCGCCCCGCAGUUGAAACUGGACGCCUUGAGUUCACAACAGGCAGGCGGAAUUCGUGGUGUAGCGGUGAAAUGCAUAGAUAUGACGAAGAACCCCGAUUGCGAAGGCAGCUUGCUGCAGCGGAACUGACGCUGAUGCUCGAAAGCGCGGGUAUCGAACAGGAUUAGAUACCCCUGUAGUC